This is a long non-coding RNA of Astyanax mexicanus (Mexican tetra), 705 nucleotides long. RefSeq lists it as uncharacterized. The transcript has 4 exons. The record is from RefSeq and is a predicted model, not a curated record. Lineage: Eukaryota; Metazoa; Chordata; Actinopteri; Characiformes; Acestrorhamphidae.
GUGGUGCAGGUUGGGUCAGGGUGGAUCGGGGUGGUGCUGGUUGGGCCAGGGUAAUGUGGUGCGAGUUGGGUCAGGGUGGUGUGGGUUGGGUCAGGGUGGGGUAAGGUGGUGCUGGUUGGGUCAGGGUGGGGUCGGGUGGUGCUGGUUGGGUUAGGGUGGGGUAAGAUGAUGUAGGUCGGGUCAGGGUGGGGUAAGGUGGUGUGGGUUGUGUCAGGGUGGUGUAAGGUGGUGUGGGUUGUGUCAGGGUGGGGUAAGGUGGUGUGGGUUGUGUCAGGGUGGGGUAAGGUGGUGUGGGUCGGGUCAGGGUGGAUCGGGGUGGUGCUGGUUGGGUCAGGGUGGAUCGGGGUGGUGCUGGUUGGGUCAGGGUGGAUCGGGGUGGUGCUGGUCGUGUCAGGGUGGGGUAAGGUGGUGUGGGUCGGGUCAGGGUGGAUCGGGGUGGUGCUGGUCGUGUCAGGGUGGGGUAAGGUGGUGUGGGUCGGGUCAGGGUGGAUCGGGGUGGUGCUGGUCGUGUCAGGGUGGGGUAAGGUGGUGUGGGUCGGGUCAGGGUGGAUCGGGGUGGUGCUGGUUGGGUCAGGGUGGAUCGGGGUGGUGCUGGUUGGGUCAGGGUGGAUCGGGGUGGUGCUGGUCGUGUCAGGGUGGGGUAAGGUGGUGUGGGUCGGGUCAGGGGUCACACUUACACUUUGCGAUCGUUCAGCAGCAUGCCGU